RNAcentral lists this transfer RNA (74 nucleotides) under Paracoccus sp. (in: a-proteobacteria). RNAcentral describes it as "tRNA-Gly". It matches the Rfam family "tRNA". From Rfam's summary of the family: Transfer RNA (tRNA) molecules are approximately 80 nucleotides in length. Their secondary structure includes four short double-helical elements and three loops (D, anti-codon, and T loops). Further hydrogen bonds mediate the characteristic L-shaped molecular structure. tRNAs have two regions of fundamental functional importance: the anti-codon, which is responsible for specific mRNA codon recognition, and the 3' end, to which the tRNAs corresponding amino acid is attached (by aminoacyl-tRNA synthetases). tRNAs cope with the degeneracy of the genetic code in two manners: having more than one tRNA (with a specific anti-codon) for a particular amino acid; and 'wobble' base-pairing, i.e. permitting non-standard base-pairing at the 3rd anti-codon position. The record is from RNAcentral. RNAcentral also lists the same sequence under 8 other names. Lineage: Bacteria; Pseudomonadati; Pseudomonadota; Alphaproteobacteria; Rhodobacterales; Paracoccaceae.
GCGGGUGUAGCUCAAUGGUAGAGCAGUAGCUUCCCAAGCUGAUGACGAGGGUUCGAUUCCCUUCACCCGCUCCA